Molecule: ribosomal RNA, 477 nt
Filed under: uncultured bacterium
Lineage: Bacteria
Description: partial 16S ribosomal RNA
Rfam family: Bacterial small subunit ribosomal RNA
Source: RNAcentral
GAUUAACGCUGGCGGCGUGCAUAACACAUGCAAGUCGAACGAUGAAACUUUAAUGAACCCUUCGGGGAGAAUUAAAGCGGAUUAGUGGCGAACGGGUGAGUAACGCGUGAGUAACCUGCCUUACACAAGGGGAUAGCCUUUGGAAACGAAGAAUAAUACCCUAUAAAACCAUAAAAGCACAUGCAAUUAUGGUCAAAGUGAUAGCGGUGUAAGAUGGACUUGCGUCUGAUUAGCUAGUUGGUGAGAUAAAAGCCCACCAAGGCAACGAUCAGUAGCCGGCUUGAGAGAGUGUACGGCCACAUUGGGACUGGGACAAGGCCCAGACUCCUACGGGAGGCAGCAGUGGGGAAAUUUUCACAAUGGGGGAAACCCUGAUGCAGCGACGCCGCGUGAUUUAGAAGGCCUUCGGGUUGUAAAAAUCUUUUGUAUAGGAAGAAAAUGACAGUACUAUACGAAUAAGGUCCGGCUAAUUACGUG